GGCGUGCAGCAUUAUUCCAUGAUGAUAAUGUGAUGUUCUGAUUAAAUUGGACAAGAAGAAAAUUGUGCCUUGUACAAAUAUAGGAAAAUUACAAAUUGUAUUAAAGGAGGACCACAUUACUGGAGGACUACAUUACUGGAGGACUAAUUACCUUGGAUUAUCAUGAUCAAUUGUGAAUUUGGAAUAACAAAAUUUCGUAGUUGCAGUGAAUAUUAA
Molecule: long non-coding RNA, 216 nt
Filed under: Mytilus galloprovincialis (Mediterranean mussel)
Lineage: Eukaryota; Metazoa; Mollusca; Bivalvia; Mytilida; Mytilidae
Source: RNAcentral